RNAcentral lists this long non-coding RNA (640 nucleotides) under Danio rerio (zebrafish). Its description in RNAcentral is "lncRNA (ENSDARG00000117681.1)". Lineage: Eukaryota; Metazoa; Chordata; Actinopteri; Cypriniformes; Danionidae. The record is from RNAcentral.
UACUAUUUGAAAUACUGUUUGUCUAUGGUCAGUUCAGUUAAUCUUUAGUGCUUUUACAAUGUAAAUUGUGUCAAAGCAGCAUAACAUGGAUGUUUUAGUAAUUUGAAAGUGCUUCAGUCCAAUUUUCACAGUUAAAGCUUUAACUGUUCAAUUGCAACUCAAUUGCAGUUGAGUGCAAUUUAGAUGUCACUUAGGAAACCCCAAACAAUGAAAAACAAGUUAAACCAAGCAAGUCAAUGGCGAGGAACAAACUUUAGAAAUUAAUAAAAGUGAGAGAAAAAAACAUGAGAAAAACCAGGUUCAGCUGAGUACACUUGUUUACACCUGCUCAGCUGGGCACGUCCAGUUCUCCUCUGGCCAAACGUCUUGUGUAGAGCUGCAGUCUUGGUGCCGGAGGCUUGAUAACGAUGGACAUCCAUCGUAAGAGAAGCUGCAAGCCUGAGUGGGUGUCCGGCGGGUGUUCAGGCUAUGUUGCUGUCAAGUUUAUAAAAGACAAAUGCUGCAGUACAUGACUUUCACUGAACAUCUAGCCCGUCUUACAGCAGAAAACACAAUCCACGAUUUCCUCAUCCUGUCUUCUGACACUACAAAUGAUCUAAAAAUAAUAAAUAUAUAAAAUGGAGACUGUUGCCAAAGAUGC